RNAcentral lists this ribosomal RNA (440 nucleotides) under uncultured bacterium. Its description in RNAcentral is "partial 16S ribosomal RNA". It matches the Rfam family "Bacterial small subunit ribosomal RNA", at positions 338 to 795 of the family's 1533-position model. The record is from RNAcentral.
CCUACGGGUGGCAGCAGUGGGGAAUAUUGCACAAUGGGGGAAACCCUGAUGCAGCGACGCCGCGUGAGUGAAGAAGUAUUUCGGUAUGUAAAGCUCUAUCAGUAGGGAAGAAAAUGACGGUACCUGAUUAAGAUGCCCCGGCUUACUACGUGCAAGCAGCCGUGGUAAUACGUAGGGAGCAAGCGUUAUCCGGAUUUACUGGGUGUAAAGGGAGCGUAGACGGGAGCACAAGUCUGGAGUGAAAUGCCGAGGCGAAACCGCGGAAUUGCAUUGGAAACUGUGCAGCUAGAGUGCAGGAGAGGUAAGUGGAAUGCCUGGUGUAGCGGUGAAAUGCGUAGAUAUUAGGAGGAACACCAGUGGCGAAGGCAGCUUACUGGACUGUAACUGACGUUGAGGCUCGAAAGCGUGGGUAGCAAACAGGAUUAGAUACCCCUGUAGUC